GUCCACGCCGUAAACGAUGUCGACUAGCCGUUGGAGACCUUAGAGUCUUUAGUGGCGCAGCUAACGCACUAAGUCGACCGCCUGGGGAGUACGGCCGCAAGGUUAAAACUCAAAUGAAUUGACGGGGCCCGCACAAGCGGUGGAGCAUGUGGUUUAAUUCGAUGCAACGCGAAGAACCUUACCACCCCUUGACAUGCCAGGAACUUGCUAGAGAUAGCUUGGUGCCGAAAGGAGCCUGGACACAGGUGCUGCAUGGCUGUCGU
This 263-nucleotide ribosomal RNA is filed under the name uncultured bacterium. Its description in RNAcentral is "partial 16S ribosomal RNA". It matches the Rfam family "Bacterial small subunit ribosomal RNA", at positions 793 to 1055 of the family's 1533-position model. The record is from RNAcentral.